CUGUUUGUUUGAUGACAGGAGAUAUUUCGUCUUGCCCUCGUUCACUGCCAGACCCAUUCGUUUUGCUUCCUUGUCCAGCCUGGAGAAAGCAGAACUAACGGCGCGGGUGUUGAGGCCGAUGAUAUCAAUAUCAUCGGCAUACGCCAGCAGCUGUACACUCUUAUAGAAGAUUGUACCUGCUCGAUUAAGUUCUGCAGCUCGAACUAUUUUCUCCAGCAGCAGAUUGAAAAAGUCGCACGAUAGGGAGUCGCCUUGUCUGAAACCUCGUUUGGUAUCGAACGGCUCGGAGAGGUCCUUCCGGAGCUUUUCGUGCCGCUCAACGUCAGUUUACACAGCCGUAUCAGUUUUGCGGGGAUACCAAAUUCAGACAUCGCGGCAUAAAGGCAGCUCCUUUUCGUGCUGUCGAAAGCAGCUUUGAAAUCGACGAAGAGGUGGUGUGUGUCGAUUCUCCUUUCACGGGUCUUUUCCAAGAUUUGGCGCAUGGUGAACGGUUGUUGAUUUACCAGGUCUGAAGCCACACUGAUAGGGUCCAAUCAGCUUGUUGACGGUGGGCUUUAAUCUUUCACACAAUACGCCCGAUAGAACCUUAUAUGCGAUGUUGAGGAGGCUAAUCCCACGGUAGUUGGCGCAGAUUGUGGGUCUCCUUGUUUAUGGAUUGGGCAUAGCACACUUAAAUUCCAGUCGUUGGGCAUGCUUUCGUCCGACCAUAUUUUACAAAGAAGCUGAUGCAUGCUCCUUAUCAGUUCUUCGCCGCCGUGUUUGAAUAGCUCGCCCGGCAAUCCAUCGGCCCCUGCCGCUUUGUUGUUCUUCAGGCGGGUGAUUGCUAUUCGAACUUCUUCAUGGUCGGGUAAUGGAACGUCUGCUCCAUCGUCAUCGAUUGGGGAAUCGGGAUCGCCUUCUCCCGGUGUUGUGCUUUCACUACCAUUCAGCAGGCUGAAGAAGUGUUCCCUCCAUAAUUUAAGUAUGCUCUGGGCAUCAGUAACUAGAUCACCUUUGGGGGUUCUACAAGAGUAUGCUCCGGUCUUGAAACCUUCUGUAAGCCGCCGCAUCUUUUCGUAGAAUUUUCGAGCAUUACCCCUGUCGGCCAGCUUAUCAAGCUGUUCAUACUCACGCAUUUCGGCCUCUUUCUUCUUCUGUCUGCAAAUGCGUCUCGCUUCCCUCUUCAACUCUCGGUAUCUAUCCCAUCCCGCACGUGUUGUGGUCGAUCGUAACGUUGCGAGGUAGGCAGCCUGUUUUCUCUCCGCUGCGACACGGCACUCCUCGUCGUACCAGCUGUUCUUUUUGCACAAAUGCCAAUGGUUUCGGUUGCAGCUGUACGUAAGGAGUUUGAAAUGCCGUCCCACAGUUCCCUUAUACCGAAUUGUUGAUGAGUGCUCUCAGAGAGCAGGAGUGCAAGCCGAGUAGAAAAACGUUCGGCUGUCUGUUGUGAUUGCAGCUUCUCGACGUCGAACCUUCCUUGUGUUUGUUGGCGUGCGUUUUUUGCUGCACAGAGGCGGGUGCGAAUUUUGGCUGCAACAAUAUAGUGGUCCGAGUCGAUGUUAGGACCUCGGAGCGCACGCACAUCUAAAACACUGGAGACGUGUCUUCCGUCUAUCACAACAUGAUCGAUCUGGUUGGUGGUUUUUCGAUCCGGAGACAGCCAGGUAGCUUGAUGUAUCUUCUUAUGCUGGAAUCUAGUACUACAGAUAACCAUAUUUCGGGCCCCGGCGAAGUCGAUCAGCCUCAACCCAUUUGGGGAUGUUUCGUCGUGGAGGCUGAAUUUUCCGAUCGUAGUGCCAAAGAUACCUUCUUUGCCCACCCUGGCGUUAAAGUCGCCAAACACGAUUUUGACAUCGUGGCGGGGGCAUCUCUCAUAAGUGCGCUCCAAGCACUCAUAAAAGGCAUCUUUGGUCACAUCGUCCUUCUCUUCCGUCGGGGCGUGGGCGCAAAUCAGCGAUAUGUUGAAGAACCUCGCUUUGAUGCGGAUUGUGGCUAGACGUUCAUUCACCGCAGUGAAUGAUAGUACUCGGCGACGGAGUCUCUCUCCCACCACGAAUCCAACACCAAACUUGCGCUCCUUUAUAUGGCCACUGUAGUAAAUGUCACAAGGACCUACUUGUCUCUGUCCUUGUCCCGUCCAUCGCAUUUCUUGGACGGCGGUGAUGUCAGCCUUUAUUUUCACGAGGACAUCAACCAGCUGGGCAGCGGCACCUUCCCAAUUAAGGGACCGGACAUUCCAAAUGCAUGCCCUCAAAUCGUAGUCCUUAUUUCGUUUGCCAUGGUCGUCAUCAAAAGGGGGGUCACUCAUCCGAGGCUUGUUGUUCCUUUUCAUUGGGGGUGUUUUUUUACGUGGCGGGUCCCAAACCCAGCGCACAACCCUAUGCAGGGGAUGUUUCGCCUUCUCACGUUAGCUCGCCUUCAAACGGAUAUUUUAGCCUGUCGAGAUGCUCCGUUAGGUAAACAAAAAAUAACCCGAAAAUGUGCGUUGGUGUUAAGCUCCAGUUAUGCAUGCUUGACUUGACCUAGCCAGACUUGAGAACUGUCACAUAAAAGAUCUGUUUAAUGAGCCUUGCAUGUAUUUGAUUACCGAACGCUUGACUUGACUU
This is a long non-coding RNA of Bactrocera dorsalis (oriental fruit fly), 2585 nucleotides long. RefSeq lists it as uncharacterized. The record is from RefSeq and is a predicted model, not a curated record. The transcript has 2 exons. NCBI's taxonomy places the organism in Eukaryota, Metazoa, Arthropoda, Insecta, Diptera, Tephritidae.